Long non-coding RNA from Lagenorhynchus albirostris (white-beaked dolphin), 1543 nucleotides. RefSeq lists it as uncharacterized. NCBI's taxonomy places the organism in Eukaryota, Metazoa, Chordata, Mammalia, Artiodactyla, Delphinidae. The record is from RefSeq and is a predicted model, not a curated record. The transcript has 5 exons.
CCGCCCCACCACUGUCAGGCUCCUUCCCGCCCCCGCCCCAGACGUCCUGCUCCCGUGGGCAUCCGCCCUGGGGGCGGGGCUCAGUGACCCACCUUCUCGCGCUGCCCACGCUGUGGGUGGUCCUCCGCCUGGGAGCCUCCCUGUGGCUCGAGCCUCUGUCGUCCGCUUUUAGUUCCCUGAACACUCCCCCAGGCCGGCUCUCGGCUCCCCCGCCCAGGGUCCCAGCCCCACUGGGCUCCCUCAGCCCUCACACUACAGACACAGCCCUCAGGACAGAAGCAGACAGCUGUUCUCUUCCCAUCAGGCCCGUGACAACACGGGGACAAGGGGCUUUGUCACAGAGCCACCACGGGGCAGCAGGGCCCGGGUGUGAGCGCAGGUCUGCCCGAGCCACAGCUGGAGGCGCAGAUGGGGAAACAGAGGCACCGAGAGAGCUUGAAAGGACAUGGUGCGAGGGGAGGAGGACCCGGAGCUGGGGGCCUGGGACAGUUUGAAAACAGGAGCCGUGAUAAAACCAGCUUCGCGGAUGUGUGUGAAAUGGAGAGGGUGCUGAGCUGGCUCAGUCUGUGAGCCAGGGAUGCUGUUAGGACGUCCCGUCCCGGCUCCAAGCGCCUGCCCCCACCUCCUGUUAAGAAACCACAGCUCUUCCCCUCCCCUCCUCUCCUCUUCGCUCCCUUUCCUAACAAUUUGGUCCAAAGCUUCGGGGAGGCAGAGCAAGAGGCACCUCAGAGAAUUCUCCGGCCUGGCGUCUUCCUCAAGUAGUCUGACGUCAUUUGCUCAGGGGCUUCUCCAUCCUGGGGGUACUUGGUUCACCUUGCCAGUGUGGACAAAACCAGCGUGCUGGAGAGGGCGUCUGCAGAGAGCAUCUCUCUAAGGAUGCUGUCAGAUUCUGGACGGAGAGCUGUGGCGUGACCUUCGCUCAAGGCAUCCACACACUUGGCCGUGAUGGACAGGGGCUUGUCCAAGGGGAGUCCGUGACCAAGAGAUGAGAAGAGGAGGAGAAAUUGGUACAAACAGGUCUGAGAGCCAGAGGUGCCUGGGAGAGAUGGAGCCCUCGGGGGAUCCCUGGUGAUACUGGAAAGGAUGCAGAUUUCCAGCUGGAUGAGGGCUGCACGUGAGCACUUGAAGCUAUUCUAGCUGAGUCAUAAGGAACAGGGGGGCUCGGGAGCGCUGAGGGUCUGGGAACAGCCACGGACAGUACUGUGGAUGGAGAUUGCUGUUGGGCAAAACAGGCGUCGGUCUCGCUAAGAAUUGGGGUGUCAGCUCUGCGUGGUGCAUCCCCUUUCCUGGAAACCCAGGUUCCUCAGGGUGGUUGACAGAGGCCCCCCGCAGCGGCCCCCGCCUUCCUCCAGCCUCCCAGGACUCCCUCCCUCUCGGAUCCAGCCACACUCACAGUUCCCCAAAACUCCAUGCUUUGCCCUCUGGCCCGCUUGGCCAGGUAUGUACUGCUCCCUUAUCUACACGUGCACAGGUGCACACACACCUGUGCUAUCUGGAAAACCUGCUCUGAUUCAUCUCUUACAGUGAAUUAUUUUUAAAAAUU